GACGAACGCUGGCGGCGUGCCUAAUACAUGCAAGUUGAGCGCUGAAGGUUGGUACUUGUACCAACUGGAUGAGCAGCGAACGGGUGAGUAACGCGUGGGGAAUCUGCCUUUGAGCGGGGGACAACAUUUGGAAACGAAUGCUAAUACCGCAUAAAAACUUUAAACACAAGUUUUAAGUUUGAAAGAUGCAAUUGCAUCACUCAAAGAUGAUCCCGCGUUGUAUUAGCUAGUUGGUGAGGUAAAGGCUCACCAAGGCGAUGAUACAUAGCCGACCUGAGAGGGUGAUCGGCCACAUUGGGACUGAGACACGGCCCAAACUCCUACGGGAGGCAGCAGUAGGGAAUCUUCGGCAAGGGACGAAAGUCUGACCGAGCAACGCCGCGUGAGUGAAGAAGGGUUUCGGAUCGUAAAACUCGGUUGGUAGAGAAGAACGUUGGUGAGAGUGGAAAGCUCAUCAAGUGACGGUAACUACCCAGAAAGGGACGGCUAACUACGUG
RNAcentral lists this ribosomal RNA (497 nucleotides) under uncultured bacterium. Its description in RNAcentral is "partial 16S ribosomal RNA". It matches the Rfam family "Bacterial small subunit ribosomal RNA", at positions 28 to 507 of the family's 1533-position model. The record is from RNAcentral.